UUGCUAACAUCCUUGCUCUUUUGGUCUGCUACUCCGUCAGGUCAGGCUUAACACUGACAAUAUUUACAUCAUGGAUGUGUCUCCAGACCCAAUUGUUUCCCUAGGUGUGGUAUUUAUAAGUUCUGGUGAUAGUA
Small nucleolar RNA from Acomys russatus (golden spiny mouse), 134 nucleotides. RefSeq annotates it as small nucleolar RNA SNORA72. Lineage: Eukaryota; Metazoa; Chordata; Mammalia; Rodentia; Muridae. The record is from RefSeq and is a predicted model, not a curated record. The transcript has a single exon.